Molecule: ribosomal RNA, 266 nt
Filed under: uncultured bacterium
Lineage: Bacteria
Description: partial 16S ribosomal RNA
Rfam family: Bacterial small subunit ribosomal RNA
Source: RNAcentral
GUCCACGCCGUAAACGAUGAGUGCUAGGUGUCACGGGCUUUGACUCCUGUGGUGCCGUAGCUAACGCAUUAAGCACUCCGCCUGGGAAGUACGGCCGCAAGGCUAAAACUCAAAGGAAUUGACGGGGGCCCGCACAAGCGGUGGAGCAUGUGGUUUAAUUCGACGCAACGCGAAGAACCUUACCUAGGCUAGAAAAUACAGAAACCUGGCAGAAAUGUCGGAGUGCUCUUCGGAGAAUCUGUAGUUAGGUGCUGCAUGGCUGUCGU